Non-coding RNA from Pelobates cultripes (western spadefoot toad), 225 nucleotides. Lineage: Eukaryota; Metazoa; Chordata; Amphibia; Anura; Pelobatidae. The record is from the annotation of a GenBank genome assembly.
CAUUUACGGAGCAGAGAAGUAUGAAGAGGUCGGUGAGUGCCGGAAACAAUGGAGGGUGAGCCUGGUCUCCAUCACCUUCAGCCAACAGGUCUCGUAGAGGAGGGCUCUAGCCAGGGUGACCAGGUGCCUUGGUUUUUUAUUUCCAAAAUCUGGUCAACCUGUAUGGGCUGUAAAUUUGGAUUAGCACUGUCUGCUAUACUCUGAAUUGCAAGCAAUUAAAGGGAC